RNAcentral lists this ribosomal RNA (557 nucleotides) under Xylaria sp. SGLAf34. Its description in RNAcentral is "eukaryotic LSU rRNA". It matches the Rfam family "Eukaryotic large subunit ribosomal RNA", at positions 66 to 647 of the family's 3401-position model. The record is from RNAcentral. Lineage: Eukaryota; Fungi; Ascomycota; Sordariomycetes; Xylariales; Xylariaceae.
CAACAGGGAUUGCCCUAGUAACGGCGAGUGAAGCGGCAACAGCUCAAAUUUGAAAUCUGGCCUUCGGGUCCGAGUUGUAAUUUGUAGAGGAUGCUUUUGGCGCGGUGCCUUCCGAGUUCCCUGGAACGGGACGCCUUAGAGGGUGAGAGCCCCGUACGGUUGGACACCAAGCCUCUGUAAAGCUCCUUCGACGAGUCGAGUAGUUUGGGAAUGCUGCUCUAAAUGGGAGGUAAAUUUCUUCUAAAGCUAAAUAUUGGCCAGAGACCGAUAGCGCACAAGUAGAGUGAUCGAAAGAUGAAAAGCACUUUGAAAAGAGGGUUAAAUAGCACGUGAAAUUGUUGAAAGGGAAGCGUUUGCGACCAGACCUUUUCCUAGUGGAUCAUCCGGUGUUCUCACCGGUGCACUUCGCUAGGUUGAGGCCAGCAUCGGUUUCCGUAGGGGGAUAAAAGCUUGGGGAAUGUAGCUCCUUCGGGAGUGUUAUAGCCCCUUGCAUAAUACCCUUACGGGGACCGAGGACCGCGCUUCGGCAAGGAUGCUGGCGUAAUGGUCGUCAACGA